Molecule: ribosomal RNA, 253 nt
Filed under: uncultured bacterium
Lineage: Bacteria
Description: partial 16S ribosomal RNA
Rfam family: Bacterial small subunit ribosomal RNA
Source: RNAcentral
UACGUAGGGUGCGAGCGUUGUCCGGAAUUACUGGGCGUAAAGAGCUCGUAGGUGGUUUGUCGCGUUGUCCGUGAAAACUCACAACUCAAUUGUGGGCGUGCGGGCGAUACGGGCGGACUGGAGUACUGCAGGGGAGACUGGAAUUCCUGGUGUAGCGGUGGAAUGCGCAGAUAUCAGGAGGAACACCGGUGGCGAAGGCGGGUCGCUGGGCAGUAACUGACGCUGAGGAGCGAAAGCGUGGGGAGCAAACAGG